Molecule: long non-coding RNA, 596 nt
Organism: Paramisgurnus dabryanus
Lineage: Eukaryota; Metazoa; Chordata; Actinopteri; Cypriniformes; Cobitidae
Source: RefSeq, a predicted model, not a curated record
UUUGUGUUGAGAGUGUUUUGGAGAAGUUGAUAAAGAGCACGAUCGCGGACCAAAAAUACAAGACUGGAUGUAAACAAACCGCGUCGUCGACGAGAGAUGGACCGGACUAUGAGCUCAGCUGCGCUCGCUUGCAUAAACUGAAAAAGAAGACCAAACGAGCGAUUUCCUGGACUCAACAGACACAGUGAACUUUGCGCUGCAUUUCAAAGCUCCUCAGCCGCAACACCGAGAACCAGAGUUGAGGUCAAUGUACUGCUGAGAAAAGUGCAAGAUCUGUUUAACCAAAAAUAUAAGGAUGCCGGAGGUACUGGAAGGAUCCCCUGGUAAAUCAAGGCAUGACAGUUAAAGUUGAAGGACUGCCCAACAGCCUCAAAAAGCCAUCCUAUUAUGGAAGGAACCAGUUGGAGGCCAUUUUGCUAGCUGCUGAGGAGAUUUCAUUUGAAAUCAAUGCAGCACAAUGCAACUCCACUCACAAAGCAGAAGGAAUGUCAGAGGCGAAGGACGCAGAAGGUAUGCCGAGUUGUUUUUAUUUUAUCUUUAAAUAAAUAUAUAACAUUAAACUUGAGAAGCAUAGUUUACUAGAUAUGUAAUUGUGG